Spea bombifrons (plains spadefoot toad) is the source of this 541-nucleotide long non-coding RNA. RefSeq lists it as uncharacterized. The record is from RefSeq and is a predicted model, not a curated record. NCBI's taxonomy places the organism in Eukaryota, Metazoa, Chordata, Amphibia, Anura, Pelobatidae. The transcript is spliced from 2 exons.
GACAUUUAAUAUAACAUCUAUCAGGGAAAGACCAGGGAGUAAAAACAGCCUUGGCACUUUUAGGCCAGCUGUCCUCUACACGUGGCCAAAUGCUACUCUUUUAUACUCACAGAAUGUACGGCAGCGUGCAUCCAGUUUGUGGCCACAUAUUAACGCACCAGAUCUGCUGCAUGAGCGGUAGUGAAACAUUAUUCUUCCGGACCAUUGAAAUUCAACAGCCAGGUGAAGACACUUCACAGGAUUCUAAUGGAUUGUUGAAGUAACAAAUUUAUUUAGAAGUAUUGACCUGUGAAACAUGAUUUAUUAAACCACCCUAAAUUAUCACUUCAUCAAAGCCUUUGUGUCAUUAGGGUUAUCUCUGGCAUAAGUAGACCUCAGCACCAGGCUACACUAGCAAUGACGCACGUUAAGCUUGAUCUUGGCACACGCUGUUGGCACGUUGUGACAUUUUAAAGGAGAACAUUUUCUACUGGUGUUUGAAACGUGAUUUUCCUUUGAAGUUGUCAUCUGAUUAAAAGUAAUUUAUGUUGUUUUAAACCUC